AUGGCAUUCCUCACCGCCAAGCGUUCGUCCGCCGCGCUCCUCCUGCUCGGCCUGUCCGUGUCCCUGGCGGCGUGCGGCGUCGCCGCCCACGACAUCGCCGCCAUCCUCGCCGCACGCCCGGACCUCCGCGAGUUCAGCGGUCGCCUGGCCUCCACGGGCCUGGCGUACGACAUCGACCAGCGCAACGCCUCCCUCACGGUCCUCGCCGUCGACAACGCCGGCAUGGCCCUGCUCAAGGCGCGCCGCCUGCCGCGCGCGACGGUCCGGCGCCACCUCUCGCUCCACGUCCUCCUCGACUACUACGACCAGGCCAGGCUGCAGAGCCUCCCGCGCGGCAGCUCCGAGGUCGUGUCCACCCUGCUCCCGGCAUCCUCCCGCCCCGGGGCCGGGGCCAGCGGCAAGGUGAGGAUCGUCGCGCCCGGGCCCGGGCUCGGCGCCGGCGAACCGGUGGCGUUCCUGCCCAUGGGCCUCGGCCCCGGCUACUGGCGCGUCGCCCUCUUCGUCAGGUCCGUCUACGAAGCUCCCGCCGACAUAUCGGUGCUGCAGGUCUCCGCCGUGAUGUCGGGCGGAGGCCGGCAAGAAGCUACUGAUUGA
This 594-nucleotide ribosomal RNA is filed under the name Triticum aestivum (bread wheat). RNAcentral's name for it is "partial small subunit ribosomal RNA". Lineage: Eukaryota; Viridiplantae; Streptophyta; Magnoliopsida; Poales; Poaceae. The record is from RNAcentral.